Pimephales promelas (fathead minnow) is the source of this 2155-nucleotide non-coding RNA. The record is from RefSeq and is a predicted model, not a curated record. NCBI's taxonomy places the organism in Eukaryota, Metazoa, Chordata, Actinopteri, Cypriniformes, Leuciscidae.
GUAAACCCUAAUGUUGUCUUUACUUAAACAAUCAAGUGUACUUGACUAAACAUUACUUGAAAUUGUGCAUUUUGGCCGGGUCACUCAAAAAUAUAAGUUCAAAUAACUAAUUUACCUUCAAAAUACAAAAACUUAAGAUUCCAAGUGCAGUGAACUCAAAAUAAUGAUUAAAACUUACAAAAGGUCAUUUUCACAAAUUUCUUAACUGUGAAAUGAAGGAUACAUUCAUACAUGCUUUCUUCAAGUGCAAGGUGUCAUUCUUAUUUUACCAGAAAACAAAUGGCUUUCAUUUUACAAUUAUUGAUCAUAAUGUAAAUAAACGUUUAUUUAAAAAAAAAAUCCUGAUACUUUAAACUUCAUAAAUAAACUUUAAUAUCUGUAUUCAAGUGUUUUUGUAAUACUGUGGGUUGCAGUUUUCACUCAGUAGCCUUUUUUAUGCAGUAAACAACAUGUACAGAACAAUAAAACAAACAAAAUACAAGCUCAUACAUUUCACGUGCACAUAUAUGCCACGUGACAAAAUGCAUGAAAGAGUUCCUCACAUCAGCCACCAACCAUGUAUCAAUGAAAAAAUAAUAUACAAACUUACAGAAAUACAGCGACGACACAUUAUGUUUAACGUUAAAUCAAAUUCAUUUCAAAUCGGUUUAAUUAAAAUGUCUCUCUCUGAUCUUCCUCUGAUGCGAUUGGCCACGCAAGGAGUUCUGCCUGGCAACAAGAAAACUAAUGCACUAAUUGGUGGAUUUCAAAAUUGGUGAUUUUCGCAUCGUCUGUUGCUGCUGCUGACACAAGUUCAAAUCUCAAGACGGGAGGUUUUCUUUGUGUAACAUUCUCGAUCAAGUUCAACAGAAAAAAACCUAAAACAGGAUUUCUACUUCUACAGAACAUACAGUUCAUGGACCUUUUUACAGCCAAAAGGGGGACUCCUGGUCAGUACUUGGCUAACGUUCAAAUAAAGGUUAGUAAUGGUUAAUAAUAAAUAAAGGUUUUGUCUUAUUUAAAAUAACUAACAGGAUAACUUUUACUCACCCUCAAGGUGUUCUAAACCUGUAUACAUGUAUUUGUUAAAGCUGAACACAAAGGAAGAUAUUUUGAAGAAUGUUUGUAAUUGAACAGAUUUGGGUACAAUUAAUGUUCGUAGUAUUUUUUUUUUUUCUUUUUUUUUUAAGCAUGUAAAAGUCAAUGUUGGCCCAAAACUGCUUGGUUACAAACAUUCUUCAAAAUGUAUUCUUCCUUUGUAUUUAGCUGAGCAAAGAAAUGUACAGGUUUGGAUUGGAAUAACUUGAGGGUGACUAAAUGAUGACAGAAAUUUCAUUUUGGGGGAACGAUCCCUUUAAAAGCAUUUAAUUUUGUCAGCAUUUAAUCGUAUAAAAAUUCUUCAAAUAUAUUGAUUAGUUGUUGGCAUUAAUGGAAUUUUGUGUUUUCCUUUAAAAUCAUCCCAGCCAACGGAGGUCCGAACCCUUGGGAUUCGAUGACAACCUAUCAUGCUUGGAGAUGAUGGUGACUCUGGGAUUAAGGUGUCUGAUCAUCGCAACUCCAUCCUUAAUGUGCCAGUGGGCAUCUUAUUUGAGGACACUGAACUUCAGCCCCCCAAUUCCUUGUAUUUAACUUCUACGAUUGGAAUAAUACUUGAAGGACAAGUGGUGAUUGAAAAAACGCAGGACCUCCCACAGGCUAUGUGUCUCCUCUUCGGUCUGAUCUACGCUGUCUGAUCUACGUGUGCUAAUGUCAAUGGGACAGUAUUCUCUCAAGCCUAAAUUGCAGUCUCUGGCAAACCAGCUUUUUGUUUAAAAAACGUCACUGUGAGACUUUAACACCACUCUGAGAAAUGUUCUACAAAUGAUUUGCAGAAGAUACAGUACUGUAAUAUUGUGCAAAUAUUUGGUCAAAGACACUGACUAUGGUCACUAUGCUUUACUUAGUUUGCUGUGAUUUCAUAAAGCUUAAACAAGUAAAAUGUAAAAACAAUGUACAUUACGUGUACAUGUUCAGUACAUUUACAAAAAUUUGAGACUUAAAUGUAAUGUGUAAGUGAUCAGAGUUGUACAAUUGAUAGUGCACUACUUAAUGUUGGAUACUGUUGCCACAUUUAGAGUUAUGUACAGGGUGUGACUCAUUUCCAUUUGAAAUUUUGGUCAAUAAAGACUCAAAGGAU